Molecule: ribosomal RNA, 454 nt
Filed under: uncultured bacterium
Lineage: Bacteria
Description: bacterial SSU rRNA
Rfam family: Bacterial small subunit ribosomal RNA
Source: RNAcentral
CCUANGGGUGGCAGCAGUGGGGAAUAUUGGACAAUGGGCGCAAGCCUGAUCCAGCAAUGCCGCGUGUGUGAAGAAGGCCUUAGGGUUGUAAAGCACUUUCAGGGGGGAGGAACGGCCCGCAAGGGUUUUGACGUUACCCCCAGAAGAAGCACCGGCUAACUCUGUGCCAGCAGCCGCGGUAAUACAGAGGGUGCGAGCGUUAAUCGGAAUGACUGGGCGUAAAGCGCGCGUAGGCGGUUAUAUAAGUUGGGUGUGAAAUCCCUGGGCUCAACCUAGGAAUUGCAUUCAAAACUGUAUGACUUGAGUGAAGUAGAGGUGAGUGGAAUUUCCGGAGUAGCGGUGAAAUGCGUAGAUACCGGAAGGAACACCAGUGGCGAAGGCGACUCACUGGGCUUUAACUGACGCUGAGGUGCGAAAGCGUGGGGAGCAAACAGGAUUAGAUACCCCUNUANUC